RNAcentral lists this long non-coding RNA (808 nucleotides) under Hordeum vulgare. Its description in RNAcentral is "long non-coding RNA (HVUL_LNC009195)". Lineage: Eukaryota; Viridiplantae; Streptophyta; Magnoliopsida; Poales; Poaceae. The record is from RNAcentral.
ACUCAUCAAGUGGCACAAAAAUUACUACAAUAUAGCUUCUAAACAUAAUGAACAUGUUUUCAAUGAUCCACUAAUAUCCGAAAUUUAGGCAAUCUCACUAAGAAUAAUGCAUAUCUUCUAUUUUUUUGCCUCCUCCCUAACAACGCAUACUUGAUUUUCACAGGUUCACAACCUUUCCACUCAUCGGCAUCUGCAGCAUCUAAGUUCCUUUUCGUCACAUAUUCAUAAUUACUUGAGUUUGUUCUUACCUUGUUUGCAACAUUUACUUGAGUUAGGUAGAGAGAACGUAGUUGCAUAGUUUCCAAUAUGUCUAAACUCUUAAUUUAUAAUAUUAACGAUCAUUAUAAUUCAAUCUAUGUGGACAAACGUGAUAGCUUAUUUGACUUCUCUCUGUCAGUUUAAAUAAUAUGCUUGUUGUCAUGACCAUAAAUUGUUGUCCAUGUAUGCACUCCAUGAUAAUAUGAUUGAUAACAUGUUAACUUUCAACUUUAUGUACCCUUAUUAUUUACCCUUGGAAUAUAAUUUAAUAUGUUUAGAUGCAUCAUAUAUGUUAUUGUUUUUUCUUUUUCUUCUUCUAACUUUCUUAAUUUCUGCCAUUUUUGCAGAUUUGAUUCAUUUCAUGGAAGCUGGAAUUGAUGGACAAUUAGUGUUUAGUUUUUUUCAUUUGUAUUGGCGAACAAUGUAAAAUUUAUGUAUGUAUAUAUGGAUGAACUAUGUGAAACUUUGUAUUGUGCUAGCUUGUUAAAUAUUUCAUGAUGAUCUUGGAUAUAUAUAUGUUGUGAAAUAUAUGUGUUGAAGAUAUCUGAAA